GGUGUCGUGGCCGAGUGGUCAGGCAGCGGUCUGCAAAACCGCGUACAGCGGUUCGAAUCCGCUCGACACCUCCA
RNAcentral lists this transfer RNA (74 nucleotides) under Bacteroidales bacterium. RNAcentral's name for it is "tRNA-Cys". It matches the Rfam family "tRNA". Rfam says of the family: Transfer RNA (tRNA) molecules are approximately 80 nucleotides in length. Lineage: Bacteria; Pseudomonadati; Bacteroidota; Bacteroidia; Bacteroidales. RNAcentral also lists the same sequence under 2 other names. The record is from RNAcentral.